Molecule: non-coding RNA, 111 nt
Organism: Podarcis lilfordi (Lilford's wall lizard)
Lineage: Eukaryota; Metazoa; Chordata; Lepidosauria; Squamata; Lacertidae
Source: the annotation of a GenBank genome assembly
UUGACCAGAACUAAGAAAUCCCCCUUGGCAAUGAACACAAUUCAGCCGCGCUUGUCAAAUUCUGUACGACCACUGAUUAUUGCCAAAGGGGAUUUUCUUUUCUCUGUAUAC